AACCCAUGGUGAGGGCACUGUCUCAAUAAGUCCUUAUACCUCUCCCAUGGAUCAUAUAUUGUCUCUAAAUCUAUUUAAACAAAGGAAAAUAUAUCAUUCAUCAACUU
Non-coding RNA from Gossypium arboreum, 107 nucleotides. Lineage: Eukaryota; Viridiplantae; Streptophyta; Magnoliopsida; Malvales; Malvaceae. The record is from Rfam.